RNAcentral lists this ribosomal RNA (465 nucleotides) under uncultured bacterium. Its description in RNAcentral is "partial 16S ribosomal RNA". It matches the Rfam family "Bacterial small subunit ribosomal RNA", at positions 28 to 507 of the family's 1533-position model. The record is from RNAcentral.
GACGAACGCUGGCGGCGUGCUUAACACAUGCAAGUCGAACGGAAAGGCCCCCUUGUGGGGUACUCGAGUGGCUAACGGGUGAGUAACACGUGAGUAACCUACCCUUGACUUUGGGAUAACUUCAGGAAACUGGGGCUAAUACCGGAUAGGAGCUCCUGCUGCAUGGUGGGGGUUGGAAAGUUUCGGCGGUUGGGGAUGGACUCGCGGCUUAUCAGCUUGUUGGUGGGGUAGUGGCUCACCAAGGCUUUGACGGGUAGCCGGCCUGAGAGGGUGACCGGCCACAUUGGGACUGAGAUACGGCCCAGACUCCUACGGGAGGCAGCAGUGGGGAAUAUUGCACAAUGGGCGGAAGCCUGAUGCAGCAACGCCGCGUGCGGGAUGACGGCCUUCGGGUUGUAAACCGCUUUCGCCUGUGACGAAGCGUGAGUGACGGUAAUGGGUAAAGAAGCACCGGCUAACUACGUG